UGGGGUGUAGGUCAGUGGUAGACUGCUUGUCUAACUUGCAUGAGGCCCUGGGUUUGAUCUCCAGCACCAAAA
RNAcentral lists this transfer RNA (72 nucleotides) under Marmota marmota marmota (Alpine marmot). It matches the Rfam family "tRNA". Rfam says of the family: Transfer RNA (tRNA) molecules are approximately 80 nucleotides in length. Their secondary structure includes four short double-helical elements and three loops (D, anti-codon, and T loops). Lineage: Eukaryota; Metazoa; Chordata; Mammalia; Rodentia; Sciuridae. RNAcentral also lists the same sequence under 3 other names. The record is from Rfam by way of RNAcentral.